RNAcentral lists this long non-coding RNA (336 nucleotides) under Hordeum vulgare. RNAcentral's name for it is "long non-coding RNA (HVUL_LNC018050)". The record is from RNAcentral. Lineage: Eukaryota; Viridiplantae; Streptophyta; Magnoliopsida; Poales; Poaceae.
GGCGAACCUCUCAUGGAACCGGCGCGAGAUUUCUGCGAGGAAUCUCCGGGAGCUCGCUCGGCCGCCCGCCUCCCAGUUUGCUACGCCGGCAGUGCAGAUCCAGUGGGGAGGGGGGCGCCGCCCAUGCACGCACAGCCGAGAGAGAGGCGUCUGUUACGCUCUCGAUCUUUUUCCCUCCCUGGCGCGGAAACUUUUAUUAUUAACGCUAAUUAUGGGGGGCCUAAAAGGGAGCCGCAAUUUAUAUAGCCUCCACCUCCCAGUGAGUGAGUGAGCGAGCCUCCUCUUCCCAGCGCGGCAGCGACCUACCGCCGACAGUGGCAGUGCGGAGCAACUCUG